RNAcentral lists this ribosomal RNA (301 nucleotides) under uncultured bacterium. RNAcentral describes it as "partial 16S ribosomal RNA". It matches the Rfam family "Bacterial small subunit ribosomal RNA", at positions 509 to 807 of the family's 1533-position model. The record is from RNAcentral.
CAGUAGCCGCGGUAAUACGAAGGGUGCAAGCGUUACUCGGAAUUACUGGGCGUAAAGCGCACGCAGGCGGUCUGUCAAGUCAGAUGUGAAAUCCCCGGGCUUAACCUGGGAACUGCAUUUGAAACUGGCAGGCUAGAGUCUUGUAGAGGGGGGUAGAAUUCCAGGUGUAGCGGUGAAAUGCGUAGAGAUCUGGAGGAAUACCGGUGGCGAAGGCAGCCCCCUGGGAUAACACUGACGCUCAUGCACGAAAGCGUGGGGAGCAAACAGGAUUAGAUACCCGCGUAGUCCCUGUCUCUUAUAC